Molecule: ribosomal RNA, 716 nt
Filed under: uncultured Gammaproteobacteria bacterium
Lineage: Bacteria; Pseudomonadati; Pseudomonadota; Gammaproteobacteria
Description: bacterial SSU rRNA
Rfam family: Bacterial small subunit ribosomal RNA
Source: RNAcentral
GUAAACGAUGUCAACUAGCCGUUGGGAGACUNGAUCUCUUAGUGGCGCAGCUANCNCACUAAGUUGACCGCCUGGGGAGUACGNCCGCAAGGUUAAANCUCAAAUGANUUGACGGGGGCCCGCACAAGCGGUGGAGCAUGUGGUUUAAUUCGAUGCAACGCGAAGANCCUUACCUGGUCUUGACAUCCAGAGAAUUUACUAGAGAUAGUUUAGUGCCUUCGGGAACUCUGUGACAGGUGCUGCAUGGCUGUCGUCAGCUCGUGUUGUGAAAUGUUGGGUUAAGUCCCGUAACGAGCGCAACCCUUAUCCUUAUUUGCCAGCACUUUGGGUGGGAACUCUAAGGAGACUGCCGGUGACAAACCGGAGGAAGGUGGGGACGACGUCAAGUCAUCAUGGCCCUUACGACCAGGGCUACACACGUGCUACAAUGGCAGGAACAGAGGGACGCGAAUCCGCGAGGUGGAGCUAAUCCCAGAAAACCUGUCGUAGUCCGGAUUGGAGUCUGCAACUCGACUCCAUGAAGUCGGAAUCGCUAGUACKCGCGAAUCAGAAUGUCGCGGUGAAUACGUUCCCGGGCCUUGUACACACCGCCCGUCACACCAUGGGAGUGGAUUGCACCAGAAGUAGUUAGUCUAACCUUCGGGAGGACGAUUACCACGGUGUGGUUCAUGACUGGGGUGAAGUCGUAACAAGGUAGCCCUAGGGGAACCUGGGGC